RNAcentral lists this unclassified non-coding RNA (709 nucleotides) under Hevea brasiliensis (rubber tree). Lineage: Eukaryota; Viridiplantae; Streptophyta; Magnoliopsida; Malpighiales; Euphorbiaceae. The record is from RNAcentral.
CCUAAAUCCACUCUUUCUUUGCCUAUCUAUUGGAAGCCAUCAUUCUUCUCCAUGGCGAGCUCAGUUUCUUCCUCCAUGGAGGGCUUAAUUAUCUUUCUUGGGCUAUUAGGCAACAUCACCACAGGGCUAGUCUACCUUGCUCCCAUAAAGACCUUUUGGAGAAUUGUGGUGAAUAGAUCAACUGAGGAAUUUGAAAGCGAUCCUUACGUUUGGAAGUUAAUAAAUGCCUACUUCUGGGUCUACUAUGGCAUCCUCAAGCCUAAUAGCGUCCUCGUCGCCACGGUUAACGGUUUUGGUGCUGUUUUAGAGCUCAUUUUCGUCUCCUUGUUUCUGAUUUUUGCACCUCCAAGAAUGAGGGUUAAGACAGCUAUUCUAUUUGGGGUUCUGGAUGUGGUGUUUCCAGCUGGAACAGUCCUGAUUACGCAGUUGUUUUUAAAAAGAAAAGGACAGAUAGAUGUUGCUGGAUUCUUUUGUGUUUGCUUUAGCAUGGCUGCAUAUGGUUCCCCUCUUUCAGCUAUGAAAACAGUUGUGACAACCAAGAGUGUUGAAUACAUGCCAUUCCUUCUCUCAUUUUUCCUUUUCAUAAAUGGAGGAGUUUGGACUAUAUAUGCUGUGAUUACUAGUGAUUGGUUUAUUGGACUACCAAAUGGUACUGGAUUUGUUCUUGGGACAGCCCAGUUGAUUCUUUAUGCAAUAUAUUAUAAGAGAC